This 324-nucleotide ribosomal RNA is filed under the name uncultured Prevotella sp. RNAcentral's name for it is "bacterial SSU rRNA". It matches the Rfam family "Bacterial small subunit ribosomal RNA", at positions 354 to 676 of the family's 1533-position model. Lineage: Bacteria; Pseudomonadati; Bacteroidota; Bacteroidia; Bacteroidales; Prevotellaceae. The record is from RNAcentral.
UGAGGGAAUAUUGGGUCAAUGGACGGAAGUCUGAACCAGCCAAGUAGCGUGCAGGAUGACGGCCCUAUGGGUUGUAAACUGCUUUUAUGCGGGGAUAAAGUGAGGGACGUGUCCCUUUUUGUAGGUACCGCAUGAAUAAGGACCGGCUAAUUCCGUGCCAGCAGCCGCGGUAAUACGGAGGUCCGGGCGUUAUCCGGAUUUAUUGGGUUUAAAGGGAGCGUAGGCCGUCGUUUAAGCGUGUUGUGAAAUGCCGCGGCUCAACCGUGGCACUGCAGCGCGAACUGGAUGACUUGAGUUCGCGGAGGUAGGCGGAAUUCGUGGUGU